RNAcentral lists this ribosomal RNA (850 nucleotides) under uncultured Paracoccaceae bacterium. RNAcentral's name for it is "bacterial SSU rRNA". It matches the Rfam family "Bacterial small subunit ribosomal RNA". Lineage: Bacteria; Pseudomonadati; Pseudomonadota; Alphaproteobacteria; Rhodobacterales; Paracoccaceae. The record is from RNAcentral.
GGAACGCUGGCGGCAGGCCUAACACAUGACAAGUCGAACGGGAUCUUCGGAUCUAGUGGCGGACGGGUUAGUAAUCGGAACGUACCCUUUUCUACGGAAUAGCCUCGGGAAACUGAGAGUAAUACCGUAUACGCCCUUCGGGGGAAAGAUUUAUCGGAGAAGGAUCGGCCCGCGUAAGAUUAGAUAGUUGGUGGGGUAAUGGCCUACCAAGUCUACGAUCUUUAGCUGGUUUGAGAGGAUGAUCAGCAACACUGGGACUGAGACACGGCCCAGACUCCUACGGGAGGCAGCAGUGGGGAAUCUUAGACAAUGGGGGAAACCCUGAUCUAGCCAUGCCGCGUGAGUGACGAAGGCCUUAGGGUCGUAAAGCUCUUUCGCUGGGGAAGAUAAUGACUGUACCCAGUAAAGAAACCCCGGCUAACUCCGUGCCAGCAGCCGCGGUAAUACGGAGGGGGUUAGCGUUGUUCGGAAUUACUGGGCGUAAAGCGCGCGUAGGCGGACUGGAAAGUUGGGAGGUGAACAUCCCUGUGGGCUCAACCCCGGAAACGGCCUCCCAAAACUAUCAGUCUAGAGUUCAGAGAAGACGGUGAGUGGAAAUUCCGAGUUGUAGAGGGUGAAAAUUCCGUAGCAUUUUUCGAGAAGGAAACCACACAAGUGGGCCGAAAAGCGGGAUCACUGGGCCUCCGGAUACUUGACGCUGAACGUGCCGACAAGACGUUGGGGGAGCAACACAGGGAUUAAUUACCCUUGGCCUAGUCCCACCGGCCGGCAAAACGAAUAAAUGCCAGUUCGCAAAAAGGGGUUGGCCCCUUUUGGUUGACACAACCUAACGGGAUUAAAUUCCGUGGGA